GAUCAUGGCUCAGGAUGAACGCUAGCUACAGGCUUAACACAUGCAAGUCGAGGGGCAGCAUGAACUUAGCUUGCUAAGUUUGAUGGCGACCGGCGCACGGGUGAGUAACACGUAUCCAACCUGCCGAUGACUCGGGGAUAGCCUUUCGAAAGAAAGAUUAAUACCCGAUGGCAUAGUUCUUCCGCAUGGUAGAACUAUUAAAGGAUUUCGGCCAUCGAUGGGGAUGCGUUCCAUUAGG
Molecule: ribosomal RNA, 238 nt
Filed under: uncultured bacterium
Lineage: Bacteria
Description: partial 16S ribosomal RNA
Rfam family: Bacterial small subunit ribosomal RNA
Source: RNAcentral